This is a transfer RNA of 72 nucleotides. It matches the Rfam family "tRNA". Rfam says of the family: Transfer RNA (tRNA) molecules are approximately 80 nucleotides in length. The record is from Rfam.
GCCUUUGUAGUGUAAUGGUUAUCACAUCGGAUUCUGAUUCCGGUAAUCCUGGUUCGAUUCCAGGCAGGGGCU